Molecule: ribosomal RNA, 637 nt
Filed under: uncultured archaeon
Lineage: Archaea
Description: bacterial SSU rRNA
Rfam family: Archaeal small subunit ribosomal RNA
Source: RNAcentral
GCCGAUCAGGCUGUUGGUGAGGUAAUGGCCCACCAAACCUAAAACCGGUACGGGCUCUGAGAGGAGAAGCCCGGAGAUGGGCACUGAGACAAGGGCCCAGGCCCUAUGGGGCGCAGCAGGCGCGAAAACUCUGCAAUAAGCGAAAGCUUGACAGGGUUAUUCUGAGUGAUUUCCGCUAAGGAAAUCUUUUGGCACCUCUAAAAAUGGUGCAGAAUAAGGGGUGGGCAAGCCUGGUGUCAGCCGCCGCGGUAAUACCAGCACCCCGAGUGGUCGGGACGAUUAUUGGGCCUAAAGCAUCCGUAGCCGGUUCUACAAGUCUUCCGUUAAAUCCACCUGCUUAACAGAUGGGCUGCGGAGGAUACUAUGGAGCUAGGAGGCGGGAGAGGCAAGCGGUACUUAGUGGGUAGGGGUAAAAUCCGUUGAUCCAUUGAAGACCACCAGUGGCGAAGGCGGCUUGCCAGAACGCACUCGACGGUGAGGGAUGAAAGCUGGGGGAGCAAACCGGAUUAGAUACCCGGGUAGUCCCAGCUGUAAACGAUGCAGACUCGGUGAUGAAUAGGCUUCGUGCCUAUUCAGUGCCGCAGGGAAGCCGUUAAGUCUGCCGCCUGGGGAGUACGGUCGCAAGACUGAAACUUAA